UAUGGCUUUUUAUUCCUAUGUGAUUGCUUCUGUAACCUCGCGUAGGGGUGAAAGCCAUGGA
RNAcentral lists this microRNA precursor (61 nucleotides) under Petromyzon marinus (sea lamprey). RNAcentral's name for it is "Pma-Mir-135-o1_pre stem-loop". It matches the Rfam family "mir-135 microRNA precursor family", at positions 17 to 74 of the family's 88-position model. Rfam says of the family: The hairpin precursors (represented here) are predicted based on base pairing and cross-species conservation -- their extents are not known. The record is from RNAcentral. Lineage: Eukaryota; Metazoa; Chordata; Hyperoartia; Petromyzontiformes; Petromyzontidae.